AUUUCCCCCUUCGCUCUUACUAAAAAGGGGAUCUCCUUUUUUGUCUUUUCCUAGGAGAGGGGACGCCAAUGGGGGAAGGGGUCCUUUAGUCAGACUAAAAAGUGGAGCUUAUCCGAAUCAGUGAUCCGUGGCCCUCGGAUGUAAUCUGAGAGUCGCUCAAACGAGAGUGGCCAAUCGGGCGUGAGAACGGCCGUGACGUCAUCCACCAAAAGGAAGAAGUAAUGAAGAUAUCAUUAAUCACGCUCUUAAAUACAAGACUCGAUAGAGGAAAGACAAGUAUUUUUUAAAGAAAUUGAAAAGAAUAGUAAAUCGGGAAUUAGGACUCAAUAUAAGGAUUAUGGGACACAGACCUCUUUCUGCUCGGAAAGCACCAAGAGGUGGACUCAAUAUAGGUUUGUAAUUACGUUAAAGAAGAAAGAAGAGUAGAUCAUGUAGGAAAAAUUUCUCAACCAGUAGAUCGCGAUUCCCUUAAAUAAAAUCACUUGUAUCACAGCGUAUUUAAGAUUGAAAACUUAAGUUAUAUUUGUUAUUUAAUAAAAGUUAUUUAUUUAUUUAUUUAUCUUUUG
Centruroides sculpturatus (bark scorpion) is the source of this 566-nucleotide long non-coding RNA. RefSeq lists it as uncharacterized. NCBI's taxonomy places the organism in Eukaryota, Metazoa, Arthropoda, Arachnida, Scorpiones, Buthidae. The record is from RefSeq and is a predicted model, not a curated record. The transcript has 3 exons.